Molecule: ribosomal RNA, 440 nt
Filed under: uncultured bacterium
Lineage: Bacteria
Description: partial 16S ribosomal RNA
Rfam family: Bacterial small subunit ribosomal RNA
Source: RNAcentral
CCUACGGGAGACAGCAGUAGGGAAUAUUGCUCAAUGGGGGAAACCCUGAACCAGCAACGCCGCGUGGAGGAUGAAGGUUUUCGGCUUGUAAACUUCUUUUGUUAGAGCAGAUAAUGACGGUAUCUAACGAAUAAGCACCGGCUAACUCCGUGCCAGCAGCCGCGGUAAUACGGAGGGUGCAAGCGUUACUCGGAAUCACUGGGCGUAAAGAGCGCGUAGGCGGGAUAGCAAGUCAGAUGUGAAAUCCUAGGGCUUAACCAUAGAACUGCAUUGGAAACUGUUAUUCUGGAGUAUAGGAGAGGUAAGUGGAAUUCUUGGGGUAGGGGUAAAAUGCGGAGAGAUCAAGAGGAAUACUCAUUGCGAAGGCGACCUGCUAGAACAUAACUGACGUUGAUGCGCGAAGGCGUGGGGAGCAAACAGGAUUAGAUACCCCAGUAGUC